GACGGAGGGUGCUAGCGUUGUUCGGAAUUACUGGGCGUAAAGAGCUCGUAGGUGGUUUGUCGCGUUGUCCGUGAAAACUCACAGCUCAACUGUGGGCGUGCGGGCGAUACGGGCAGACUGGAGUACUGCAGGGGAGACUGGAAUUCCCGGUGUAGCGGUGAAAUGCGCAGAUAUCGGGAAGAACACCCGUGGCGAAGGCGGCUCUCUGGAACGGUACUGACGCUGAGACGCGAAAGCGUGGGGAGCGAACAGG
Molecule: ribosomal RNA, 253 nt
Filed under: uncultured bacterium
Lineage: Bacteria
Description: partial 16S ribosomal RNA
Rfam family: Bacterial small subunit ribosomal RNA
Source: RNAcentral